Molecule: ribosomal RNA, 495 nt
Filed under: uncultured bacterium
Lineage: Bacteria
Description: bacterial SSU rRNA
Rfam family: Bacterial small subunit ribosomal RNA
Source: RNAcentral
ACGAACGCUGGCGGCAUGCCUAAUACAUGCAAGUCGAGCGAACAGAUGAAGUGCUUGCACUUCUGACGUUAGCGGCGAACGGGUGAGUAACACGUAAGGAAUCUACUUAUAAGCGGGGAUAACAUUCGGAAACGGGUGCUAAUACCGCAUAAUAUCUUCUUCCGCAUGGAAGAAGAUUGAAAGACGGCUCUGCUGUCACUUAUAGAUGACCUUGCGGUGCAUUAGUUAGUUGGUGGGGUAACGGCCUACCAAGACGAUGAUGCAUAGCCGACCUGAGAGGGUGAUCGGCCACAUUGGGACUGAGACACGGCCCAAACUCCUACGGGAGGCAGCAGUAGGGAAUCUUCCGCAAUGGGCGAAAGCCUGACGGAGCAAUGCCGCGUGAGUGAAGAAGGCCUUCGGGUCGUAAAACUCUGUUAUAGGAGAAGAACAAAUUGUAGAGUAACUGCUACAGUCUUGACGGUAUCUUAUCAGAAAGCCACGGCUAACUACGUG